UUCAUGUCAACGUGUCCAAUAUCAAGAUCUCAAACAAAUUACAGAGAUCGCAGAAGAAAGCAACAUGUCUGUUGGAAAGGAUAUGGAAUAAGAAUUUGCAUAUGCCAAUAUGAUGAUUAUCCCUUUCCCUAUUAUAAAUAUGCAGACAUGUACUGGUGCAGUCUGCAACUAGCUUCCGCAUACACACUGCAUGCUUAUUUAAUUUCUUUGGUCAAUUUCUUAGUUGCAAUGGUGAGUGUCAAUAGCAAACAGUUACUUGCUGCUUCCAAGUUGGUUUUUAAAAAGGAGGAGGAGCUGUCCAAGACACAGUUUCAUGUUCACCGGAAGAAUGAUUGGGAUGAUGAUGACGACGACGACGACGAUGAUGCGGGCAGUGUUGCACCAGCUGCAUAGCUAUAUAUAUAUAUGUUUAUUGGCAUUGAGAGAAUUUGAGGCACUUCCCAGCCUCUUCGGAGUGAGCUUUGACACACUAGUUGAACAAUGUUGAGCUUUGGCACUAGUUGUGUCUCAGUUAAAGACUGUUUUUUGUUUUUAAGGAGUUUCAAAUCGAGUACUAUUAGAACAAAAGAGAAAAACAAGUUUCUCGACUCUCUCUGCUAGCUUGUCUUGUUUUGAAUAGUACGUUGACUGAAUGUUAAUCUAAGCUUAAAGUUCAUUACAAAAUCCGAAGUUA
Molecule: long non-coding RNA, 673 nt
Organism: Prunus dulcis (almond)
Lineage: Eukaryota; Viridiplantae; Streptophyta; Magnoliopsida; Rosales; Rosaceae
Exons: 2
Source: RefSeq, a predicted model, not a curated record